AAUCAACGCUGGCGGCGUGCCUAACACAUGCAAGUCGAACGCGAAAGCCCCUUCGGGGGUAAGUAGAGUGGCGUCCGGGUGAGUAACACGUAGGUAAUCUACCUUCGGGUGGGGAAUAACUCGCCGAAAGGCGAGCUAAUACCGCAUAAUGCAGCGGCACCUAAUGGUGAUUAGUUGUUAAAGCGGGGGAUCGUAAGACCUCGCGCCUGAAGAGGAGCCUGCGGCAGAUUAGCUAGUUGGGAGGUAAUGGCUCACCAAGGCUUCGAUCUGUAGCUGGUCUGAGAGGGCGCACGGCCACACUGGAACUGAAACACGGUCCAGACUCCUACGGGAGGCAGCAGUGGGGAAUUUUGCGCAAUGGGGGAAACCCUGACGCAGCAACGCCGCGUGGAGGAUGAAGUCCCUUGGGACGUAAACUCCUUUCGACCGGGACGAUAAUGACGGUACCGGUGGAAGAAGCCCCGGCUAACUUCGUGCCAGCCGCCGCUGUAAC
RNAcentral lists this ribosomal RNA (493 nucleotides) under uncultured bacterium. RNAcentral describes it as "bacterial SSU rRNA". It matches the Rfam family "Bacterial small subunit ribosomal RNA", at positions 32 to 524 of the family's 1533-position model. The record is from RNAcentral.